AUCCAUUUAACAAGUCCCAAAUAGGACGAAACUCGAGUCCUGUAU
Schistosoma rodhaini is the source of this 45-nucleotide non-coding RNA. The record is from Rfam. NCBI's taxonomy places the organism in Eukaryota, Metazoa, Platyhelminthes, Trematoda, Strigeidida, Schistosomatidae.